RNAcentral lists this long non-coding RNA (2338 nucleotides) under Zostera marina. Its description in RNAcentral is "long non-coding RNA (ZMAR_LNC004579)". The stretch from base 1364 to 1523 matches the Rfam family "U1 spliceosomal RNA". The record is from RNAcentral. Lineage: Eukaryota; Viridiplantae; Streptophyta; Magnoliopsida; Alismatales; Zosteraceae.
CUUUAUAUUAUAUCAUUCUACGGAUGCCAAAUACGUUUUAUUUGACCAAAAAUCGAUAACUAAUUUAGUUUGGCUGAACAAAUUGCUAUUUUGAAAAUAAUUAUGAAAAUCAACGACAAUGUCGCUUGAAUGAGCGAAACCGCUAAACAAACAUAAUUACGAAAAUCUUGAGUUUCUUUAAUUUUCCAUAACUGUCUAUCUAUAUCUAGAGAUUUAAAAAUUUCAUUCUUUUCUCCUCUUCCAUGUCCACACCAUUCAUUUAAUUUUUGACUUCUUUUUCUCCACUUCACGUGAGUUCGUGACUAUAGCUACAUACAAAGAAAAAGAAAAAAGUAUUUUUUAUCCACAUUUUUUAUUGUUAAAUUUGUUAUUAAUUUAGAUUUUUUUAUAUAUAUAGAUAAUCAAUGGAUAAAUUUAUGAUCAAAAGACCUAAAAUAAAUAAAUCAAUCAAUUUCAACUUCAUCAUCCAAUCCACAACCAUCUAGAGAGACACUCGAUGUAAGUAAAUUGUUUUCCGAUCCGGGAUUGCGAAAGAAGAUAAAUGACUACAAUCUAAAUGACCGAGAUCAAAUAAGAAGAUAUUAUUUGCAAAAGAAACCUUGCCAACUACAUCAACAUGAAUUUCCAUUAAAGAUGAUUAAAAAAAUCAAUCUAGACGAUUUUGUUUAUUGUGGUUUGGCUAAUAUGAAUCAUGGAUUGAAUAUAACAUUUCAAAAGACGCUGUUUUCUAUUUAUAUUGUUAUUUAUUCUCGGAAAUAAAUGAAAGUGCUUUUACUUGUACGUAAAAUUUGUUUAUUAAUUUCCUUAUAACUUAAUUGAUUUUUUUUAAUCAAUGAUGUUGUUUUUCCUUUUGGAUUAAUCAUGUUUUGCAGCUAGAGGUUUUUAUAAAUGGAAUAAACCAAAAUAUUUGAAACAACAUGUUGGGAGAGAUAAUAGUUAUCACAAUGUUGCAAAAAGUAAAUGUAAAUUUUUGAAUCAAGUUGUCGCAAUCGUAUGGAUGAUGAUUGGUUGAAUGAUAUUUUAGUAACAUAUAUUGAAAAAGAUUUAUUUUCUAAUAUAAUAAUGAUGAUAUUAUGUAUCGGUACCAAAAUAUGACACCUCGUCGAGAAUAAUUGGAUUGAAAAAAAAAAUUAGAUAAAUAAUUUAAAAUUAACCCCUCGGAGAAAAAAUUCCUAGAUUCUCCGCUGUUUGGUUACUAGUCAUCCAAUUUGCCACGUGAUGUAUAUUGGUAAAUGCCAAUUGCUUACAUGAUGAUUUUUAUUUAUUUUUUAUUUAAUUCAAUUUUUAGUCCCACAUCGUUGUGACAUCAGAAUAAAAUGGAAAAAGCUGAUUAUAAAUAUAGACGUAUCAACAACAUUGUUCAAUACUUACCUGAACGGGGUCUAUGGUUGAUCAAGAAGGAUCAUGACCUAGGUUGGUGAUCUUCAUUGCACUUUGGAGAAGCAUCAAGCUAACGUCUCCCCAAGUGGGAGAGUGUACGUUAUAAUUUAUUACUUUGGGGGUACGCGUUCGCGCGACUCCUGUCAAUAUUUAAUUCAAUAAUUUAAAAAGAAGGGAAAAAUUCAUGAGCAAUAAACCAUGUGAUGUCUGAUUUUCAGAAUCUGCUGCUUAUUUGUGAGCACUCGUCCAUUCAGGUAUCAUUGUUGCUAAUUGGUAUUCUUUAUUGGUUUGUAGGGAUUGGGAAUUCUAUGAUUUCUAUAUAUACUUCUGGUUCUCAUAGUAUAUAUCAACCUCAACAAUGAUUUUAUAUAUUGAAUUACCAUCAAUUUUUUACAAAUAAAGAUUUUCAAAUAUUGUUGUUUCAUAACUUAAUAAAUCAUUGUACCGUAACAGUUGUUGUUGUUCAUCAGAAUUUGAUUUCAAUUUCGGACUGGAGUUUUGAUAGACCGAAUACUUCAGUUUGGAAAUUAAGAAUCAAGCAAGAAAAAAAAUUAAAUAUUGGACAAGAAGCAAGUAGAAAAGAAAAUGAAGAAAAAAAAUUAGCUUGUUAUGCUUCGUCCGUAUUUGCUGGUAAUCGAAUUAAUGAUCUGGUCAAGAUAAUGAUGAUGAGCAAUAGGUGUAGUUGGAAACAGAGCAUCAAAUUCAAUUGACCAUUCACCAAAACAAAUGAAAUAGAAAAUUAAACAUUUAAAUAUGUAACAACGAAGCAGGCCAUCAACGGUAGAGGAAAACAAGCCAUCCAACUUUUGUAAAAAAAUCUAUAAAAUAAACGCUUGAGAAAAAUUUACAAUAAAAUGAUCGGAUUGUAUCCUUUGCCUCAUUUAACCUCACAAUUGUAACAACUUUUCCCCAGAUAAAUUUUUGGUUAUUUCUAUUUUGCAAAAUAAAAAUAUCUUAC